This 253-nucleotide ribosomal RNA is filed under the name uncultured bacterium. RNAcentral describes it as "partial 16S ribosomal RNA". It matches the Rfam family "Bacterial small subunit ribosomal RNA", at positions 524 to 776 of the family's 1533-position model. The record is from RNAcentral.
UACAGAGGUCCCAAGCGUUGUUCGGAUUCAUUGGGCGUAAAGGGUGCGUAGGUGGCGCCGUAAGUCAGGUGUGAAAUCUCGGGGCUUAACUCCGAAACUGCAUUUGAUACUGCGGUGCUUGAGGACUGGAGAGGAGACUGGAAUUUACGGUGUAGUGGUGAAAUGCGUAGAUAGCGGAAGGAAGACCAGUGGAGAAGGCGGGUCUCUGGACAGUUCCUGACACUGAGGCACGAAGGCCAGGGGAGCAAACGGG